Molecule: long non-coding RNA, 2747 nt
Organism: Centrocercus urophasianus (Greater sage-grouse)
Lineage: Eukaryota; Metazoa; Chordata; Aves; Galliformes; Phasianidae
Exons: 3
Source: RefSeq, a predicted model, not a curated record
UUAGAGCCAAACUGAAAACUGAUGCAGUCUGUCAGCAAGCCCUCAGGUAACAGUAUCAUAAUUUAUAAAAUUUACCAACAAUAGGAUAGUAAUUAAAGAUAGAAGUUUUCCUGUCCCUAUUUUUGGCAAAAGAGAUUUCAGAAUGCUAAACUGUGCAUGUGUGUCUCGUCAAGGAUUUAAAACAAAAUGAAAAAAAGAAAAAAAAAAGGUAAAAAAAAAAAAAAAGAAAAAAUCACACUAUCCAUAGGAAAAGGGUUUCAUUUUUGCUUGUGUUAUUUCUUGCUCUUUGCAUACUUUUGCAUUAAUAGGCUGGUGGCUUACUUACUACUUACAAGCUCAGGCUAGAGCUUUUUGCAAUUAUUUUUUAAUUAUUAUUUAAAAUGAGAAACAGCCUGGGUUAGACCAUGAACAUCUGGAAAAUUUCUUGGAGCUUUUGGGUUUGCCCCAGUGCAAGUCCUUCUUAUUUCUAGUGUUUGGUCCACUCAUUCAAGUGACUUUGGAUGUCUCAACUAAGAAUGGGACUACAUGUGGGAAAGAGAGGAAUAGUUGGCUGUUUUGAAGGAACAUUUUUCUCCAGAUUACAUCAACUGUAAUUAUUUCAUAUUGUAAGAAUAGUGUAGGAUCAUGUUGAAUAAUACAGUGAGAUUAUUGUUGGCAAAUGAUGACAUUUUAGUGGCAAACAAGGAUGCAAAUAACAAUUAUGGUACCACAUUGUUUUUGUUGGCACUAAUUAGAACACUUUCACUGCCUGUCUAAUUCCUAAUUUUAUUUGGAAAGCCCUUGAAUUAUGGACAUUAUUUUUUGUAAGUUUUCUAUAGUGCCCAGCACAAAAUGGAACUCCGUUUAUGAUUGGGAAAUAAGAGUGAUGAUAUAAUAAUAAUAAUAACAGUAAUAGUAAGAAAUUGACAAUAUCAGUUUAUACUUUGAUCUUGUCAGUACUCAUGAGUUAAGUGGUGUUGGAUUAGUCCAAUACCUAAGUGGCAGUCUGUCAGAGAACACUUCUGUUUAACAGAUGGUUCUGAAUAAGUGCACAAAUUUGGUGUUAGGACCUUGCCUCGUACCAGGUUCCAUCAGACAUGAAAUUGAGGUCUUGACCACUUGCAUCCAUAAAAAUUAAAUGUAAUAAAAAUUAAAUAUACUAACUAUGAGGCCUAACUACAAUACCAGCUAUAGCCUACAAAAAGACUUCUUGACUGGUGGUCAUUGAAUCGAAUCAACAUUGACCAAGUCCGUCUUUAAGAUUCUCUGCCAGAUCUUCUUCUCUGCUGUCCCUGAUUAAGAUUUUCUUUUCAUCUCAUGUCUUACAGUGUUUGUCAGUGUUACCAUGUACUAUCCCGUAGAUUCUGCAUGUUACUGUUUAGAAAAUAGGUAGUAUUUUCUUCCUAUGUACAAAUUUGACAGUUAAGCUGAAAAACAUAGUGUUCUUCUGGACUCUAUACUUAGGAAUUAGUUUUCUAGCUUUUCUCAGGGAAUUGUAGAUAUGAAAGUAUUUGAAAGGGAUCUGAGAAUGCAAAAUACAAAUCCUUCUAGGGGGGAAGCGACGUAUUUGACUUUUACUUUUUCAUUUUGUUUCUUGCAUAACUGUCAAAAGUAAUUUCAAAGACUUUGCCUGUUUUGCUCUUCUUAUCUUGUACUGUAUGUCUGAUGAAGAAAGGAUGAAUGAGGUUGGAAAGGACGACAGUCUUUCCAAACGUAUCUCCUUCUCUUAGGAAAAUCUCCUUUCUUUCUCACACAAAGGAAGAAAAUUUGGUUUUAAAUUCAGUUUAUUUUCUUCCAUAAGUCUUGGCAAACUGUUCAGAAAACAAUUUAGAUCUGUGCAAAUUUAUAUCCUGGUCAUGGAGCCCAAGCUGAACCUAAAUACAUGAGUAAGGGCUGUUUAGAUUGACUGCAGUACUUCAUCAGUAGUUCUCUCCAUAUCUUAACCUGAACUAUCACUGCUUAAUACCCAAUUGAGGAAUAGCUGGGAGUGCUCACUGGUGCAUACAGCCACUAGGAUUGCUUCUAUCAUGCAUAUCCUGAAAAACAUUUGUGCAAAUCACCCACAGAGUAAACAGUUACAGUGAGAAGUCCUUGCUCCAGUGCAGAAGAGGAGUGCAGAGGCUGUGAGGACACCCACCUCUCCCCCUUGGUUUGGAAGGGAUCUGUACUGGAGCUCAACGAAGGCCCCAUGUUCAGAUUGGCAGCAGGUUCAGUUUGGAUUUCCUCUCUGCAGCUGCUCCACACUCCACUUGCACCAUGUCCAAACAUCUGGCUUUAAUGUUUCGACGUAUGCCUGAAUGCAGUAUCUGCUGUCCUAUUUUGGCUCAUAUUGUUUGGAAACCACUGGAGAACUAUCAGCGAUUUUUCAGGACAGUUCUGUUUUCUGAUGUAUAGAAGCUAAUAAGUACAAACAGUUGCUAAAGGACUGUAACUAGUCAAUUUGGGUAAGUAUUUUCCUUAAAAGACCUCAUACUGCUCUUCAACCUGCUGAAAUACAAAGUGCCAACUGGCAUAGCACUGUAACACUGUGUUGUUAAUAUGAGAUAUAUUAAGCCAAAAAGAAGAGGAAAAUAAAGCAAACAAUGCAAAUAUUCAUUUCAAAAUAAUGGGGGGGGAAAAAAAGGAAAUAUAAUCAUCAAAUUUGCAGAGCACUGGUAAGACACCAGAAAAAGUGGUAAUAAUGAAUCUAAAGCAACAAAGAAAUAGGAAGGAUUUCCUGCCUAGGUGUUUUUGAUAGCUUACUUGUAAUCUACUUGGGUAAACCUAUA